Molecule: ribosomal RNA, 20 nt
Filed under: Phytophthora drechsleri
Lineage: Eukaryota; Oomycota; Peronosporomycetes; Peronosporales; Peronosporaceae
Description: partial 28S ribosomal RNA
Source: RNAcentral
UUGGACCUGAUUUCAGGCUG